CCCUAAACCUCAUCAUGGUUCAGCAGCAGGACAAGCUGGGGGCAAGGCUAUCACCUCACACAGAUUCAGAUCCCAGGUCAGAAGGAAGCACCCAGGACCAGAGGCCCCUCCAGCCCCACAGCUGCUCCUGCGCCCACAGAGGAUGUACAGCCCCACUCAUGUGGGUCCAUGCAAGAGCUCAGUGCGGAUCGCUGCAGGAAAACAUAUAAUGGAAAAACCAGCCAAGGUCAGGUUGCCGUGCCCCUGUGAUUUCUGUGUCCAUCCAAACUAAAAGAACUUGAUGGCUGAACAGCAGGCUUUGAACUCAUCUAACAGUCUGACCUUGGUGCUCUCUUAAACUGAGUGAACACUUCUGGACAACACGCUGAUGUGUAUGUUGGGCAUCUGUAUGUUUUCAUGCUCACUUGUGGUGUCUACAUAGGCCAUGAAACUAUGGGCCAGAGCUGCUCUGAGGAGCCAGAAGAAGAUUGCUCCCAGACACACUACAAAGCUUGAAGCUCACACUCAUCACAAUCUGAGCCUGGCUUUGUGGUUUAUUGGAGGAGAGGACCUGAAGAUAGCGAGGGUUUGCAUGGCUCUGGUGAGACUGAGAGCACAGCUGAGAUCCUUCCACAGGUAUCCUCAAUUUAGUUUCCCUCUGUCAGAGCAGGGUGAGUAUAAUUAAAGACAUGGGCUUCAGCUGUUGUGCUGAUAGCCUCACUCAGGGAGCAUAUCUAUCCUCCAUCCCAGUUGGCAAGCCUUUUGCUCAGCCUGGUGGGUGCUGGAAGGACCACUUUGUCUUCACCAAGGUUCUGCUGUCCCAGGAUGUGUGCAUGAGUCAUUGUCUGGAAAUCCAAGUGGCCAGAUGUCCGCCAGAUACCGCUGCACUCGAGUUGCUAACUCCCCCAAACAGGGGAAGGGGCCACUCCUCCCUGCAGAGCUGGCGGGCAGAAACGCUUUAG
Molecule: long non-coding RNA, 941 nt
Filed under: Phasianus colchicus (ring-necked pheasant)
Lineage: Eukaryota; Metazoa; Chordata; Aves; Galliformes; Phasianidae
Description: lncRNA (ENSPCLG00000004931.1)
Source: RNAcentral